ACAAUAUUAUUUUAUAAACUCAGUCAGGUCUGGAAAGAAGCAGCUGUAAUAAAUAUAAUAUGUGU
This 65-nucleotide signal recognition particle RNA is filed under the name Enterobacteriaceae endosymbiont of Neohaemonia nigricornis. RNAcentral's name for it is "signal recognition particle sRNA small type". It matches the Rfam family "Bacterial small signal recognition particle RNA", at positions 14 to 79 of the family's 97-position model. From Rfam's summary of the family: The signal recognition particle (SRP) is a universally conserved ribonucleoprotein involved in the co-translational targeting of proteins to membranes. The record is from RNAcentral. Lineage: Bacteria; Pseudomonadati; Pseudomonadota; Gammaproteobacteria; Enterobacterales; Enterobacteriaceae.